GUAAAGUAACUUUUUUGGAAACAAAUUUGAGGAUUUACAACAUUUGUUUCAAUGGGAGUGGUUGGUAUCUUUAUUUAUUUAAAUAGUUUUACAUACAAGGUUUCACAAAUACAUGAUAUAAUCACUGUAAUUCAUGAUUAUUUAGAAAUGUUUUGUUUAUCUAAUAUUAUCUCAUUUAUGUAAUAUGUUUACAGUCUGAAUUUCUUUACACUGAAAAUCUACCUGCUUACUGUCACUUGUGUAAGUUUCAUAAAAGUCAUGUUAAAUAUUUUAAUUCAUGAAGGAAUUUGAAAUUAAAUUAAUAAUAACAUAUUUUGUACAUUUGAUGAAAUAUUAAUUAUCCAGUUUAAGUAGAAAUAAAGUGACUUUUCAGUGGAUAGAUGCUUGUUCACAUUGCAGGAGGUUUUUGUACGGCCACUUAAUGAGUUUGUAUCACUGUGAUACACUUUUGGUGGAGGAACCAAACUCAUCUUCUACUCUGGUCCCAUGGUCAGGCCCUCAGUCUCUCUGCUUCCCCCCUCCUCUGAGCAGCUCUCUGGGGGCUCGGCCACGCUGGCCUGCCUGCUGAGCGGCUAUGCUCCUCAGGGAGCCGUGGUGAGCUGGGAGGUGGACGGUACAGAGGUGACAGAGGGGGUCCUGAGCAGCUCAGAGGAGGAGAAGAGCGGACGCUACAGCAGCAGCAGCACCCUGAACCUGAACCAGGAUCGCUGGAUGAAAGGAGAGCUGUACUCCUGCAGGGUCCUCCAUCAUGACCACAGCCAGAUCCAGUCCCUCCGCAGGAGCAAGUGUUAGGUGUAGAGGGGCUGGCUGAAGUCCAGGACAGGAGCUGUGUGUGGGGGGAGCAGGAGGAACACACCUGCUGAUCUGAUCAAUAUGACUUUUAAUGUUUGUAGAGUAAACUGAAGCUUUGUGUGACGGUAACAACUUAGAGAGUAAUGUGUGUAGCUCAGCAGCUAGAUGUGAGUGUGCUUAAUAACUGUGCUGUUGA
Molecule: non-coding RNA, 988 nt
Organism: Scomber scombrus (Atlantic mackerel)
Lineage: Eukaryota; Metazoa; Chordata; Actinopteri; Scombriformes; Scombridae
Source: the annotation of a RefSeq genome assembly